RNAcentral lists this ribosomal RNA (504 nucleotides) under uncultured bacterium. RNAcentral's name for it is "partial 16S ribosomal RNA". It matches the Rfam family "Bacterial small subunit ribosomal RNA", at positions 30 to 523 of the family's 1533-position model. The record is from RNAcentral.
AUUGAACGCUGGCGGCAGGCCUAACACAUGCAAGUCGAACGGUAGCACAGAGAGCUUGCUCUCGGGUGACGAGUGGCGGACGGGUGAGUAACGUCUGGGAAACUGCCCGAUGGAGGGGGAUAACUACUGGAAACGGUAGCUAAUACCGCAUAACGUCGCAAGACCAAAGUGGGGGACCUUCGGGCCUCACACCAUCGGAUGUGCCCAGAUGGGAUUGGCUAGUAGGUGGGGUAAUGGCUCACCUAGGCGACGAGCCCUAGCUGGUCUGAGAGGAUGACCAGCCACACUGGAACUGAGACACGGUCCAGACUCCUCCGGGAGGCAGCAGUGGGGAAUAGUGCACAAUGGGCGCAAGCCUGAUGCAGCCAUGCCGCGUGUAUGAUGAAGGCCUUCGGGUUGUAAAGUACUUUCAGCGAGGAGGAAGGUGUUGUGGUUAAUAACCACAGCAAUUGACGUUACUCGCAGAAGAAGCACCGGCUAACUCCGUGCCAGCCGCCGCGGUAA